Molecule: ribosomal RNA, 468 nt
Filed under: uncultured bacterium
Lineage: Bacteria
Description: partial 16S ribosomal RNA
Rfam family: Bacterial small subunit ribosomal RNA
Source: RNAcentral
GACGAACGCUGGCGGCGUGCUUAACACAUGCAAGUCGAACGGAAAGGCCCUGCUUUUGUGGGGUGCUCGAGUGGCGAACGGGUGAGUAACACGUGAGUAACCUGCCCUUGACUUUGGGAUAACUUCAGGAAACUGGGGCUAAUACCGGAUAGGAGCUCCUGCUGCAUGGUGGGGGUUGGAAAGUUUCGGCGGUUGGGGAUGAACUCGCGGCUUAUCAGCUUGUUGGUGGGGUAGUGGCUUACCAAGGCUUUGACGGGUAGCCGGCCUGAGAGGGUGACCGGCCACAUUGGGGCUGAGAUACGGCCCAGACGCCUACGGGAGGCAGCAGUGGGGAAUAUUGCACAAUGGGCGGAAGCCUGAUGCAGCAACGCCGCGUGCGGGAUGACGGCCUUCGGGUUGUAAACCGCUUUCGCCUGUGACGAAGCGUGAGUGACGGUAAUGGGUAAAGAAGCACCGGCUAACUACGUG